GGCUCCAGUCCAGCAUUCAGGAUCCUUGCCCAGCUGGAACCUUGCACACACCUACAGUAUGACACCUGCCUAAAGACUCUUAAAUUCCUGCUGAACAAUGACAGAAACAAUGUUUUGGUAUUCACUGCAGACGGAAAAGUUGAGCACAAUAUGCAGCAAGUAACUCUGCCUUAUCAGUCAGGAGAUAUCGACAUAUUUGAUGUUUCCUCCUUUCACAUAAUGCUUCAGACUAGUUUUGGGUUGCAAAUUCAGAUCCAGCACACCCCUGUCAUGCAAGUCUACAUUAGCUUAGAACAGAAUUACAAAACAAA
Molecule: non-coding RNA, 311 nt
Organism: Oryzias latipes (Japanese medaka)
Lineage: Eukaryota; Metazoa; Chordata; Actinopteri; Beloniformes; Adrianichthyidae
Source: RefSeq, a predicted model, not a curated record